Non-coding RNA from Paramuricea clavata, 417 nucleotides. The record is from the annotation of a GenBank genome assembly. Lineage: Eukaryota; Metazoa; Cnidaria; Anthozoa; Malacalcyonacea; Plexauridae.
AAAAUGGAAACAUUAAUAGAUUAAAUAUACUUAUAUUAAAUAUGCCCAAUUCUCUCCUGGCAUUGCCAUCUUAAUAUAUAGAGAACUCGCAAUCGAUCAAGCUCUGCAACAGACUCAGUGAUCAGAGCAUUGCACUAGAAUUGCAAGUUUGUGGGUUCAAUUCCUGCCAAAAAGCCUAUGUAGUUGCAUUUUUUGCAACUGGUCCCAGUUUGGUCUUAGAAUGUAUGUAUUCCUCACUCAAAAUUUUCCUUCGCCAAAAAUCCCUAUAGAUUACUUAGCCAUUUUAGUCAUUGACAUCAUCAAUUUUGUGUCCAUACUGUACAUAUUAUUUUUUUAACUCUUCCAAUUAUUUGAGUAUUUCCCAUUAUAUGUAAGUUAGAUUCCCCAGAGCAUGUGACUGGGGGGACAAGUUUCAAC